Molecule: non-coding RNA, 7762 nt
Organism: Solanum lycopersicum (tomato)
Lineage: Eukaryota; Viridiplantae; Streptophyta; Magnoliopsida; Solanales; Solanaceae
Source: RefSeq, a predicted model, not a curated record
AAUAGCACCUUCGCUUUUCUCUCUCUAUAACUCAUCAUCAUCUCAAUCGGAUCUUCCUUAGCCCCGAAUAAUUUUCCGACAAAACCUAACCCUAACUUUUCCAAUGGCCAGCGAUUCCAAUGAACCUUCCCGUCGCAAACACCAUCGAUCUUCUCCUUCCGAUGAGGAUACCGGAGAACCAUUGAAACGCCGUAAGCACCGCCACCAUCAUCGCCACCAUCGCCACCAUCGCCAUCAUAGCAAGAAGCAUCUUGAGAAAUCCGAUUCGAAAUCCGAGAAGGAAAUGGUUAAAUCAAAAAGUGAGAUUGAGAAUGGUGGUAAACCUGGAGAAGAGAUGAAGAUUGGUACUGUUGUUGGUGUUUCUACUUUAGGGAUUGAUUAUGAUAUGGAGGAAGGAGAAAUCAUUGAGGAUGAUGUUGUGGAUACUGCUGCUGUUGGUGAUGCUGAUGAGACUACCGUGACAGAAAAAUUGGGGAAUGAAGAUGAUUUGAACAUGGAAUUGCAUGAAGCUCAAGAACAAGGGCCUGCAGACAAUGUGGAAAAAGUUGACAGAGAUUACACUGUUUCUGGACGGCAUGAUGAGCAAAGCAAAAGUAGAAAGGCUGAUAGGUCUAGAGAAAGGAAGUCUAGUGACAAGCAUUGUGCCAAUGGUAGUUACAUAGAUAAGUUUCAUAAAUUGGACUCUGAACCACAGAAAGAAGAUAGUAUCACUGCUGAAGAAAUUACAAAACAAAAGAGCUAUGACGAGGAUGAGAAUGAGGUACAGGAUCGAAUAAUAAGAUCCUCGACUCCUGAAAAUGUUGGAAAGAGGCAUAGAUCUGUUAGGGUAUCAUCUUCACAUUAUGAGCACCCUGAAGAGAGACAUGUUACAAAGUCAUCCAAGUCACCAGAUCGCUCCAGAGGAAGAUCACGAUCAAAAAGUGUUCUGGAGGAGUCUUUCCUUGUACCUAAGUCUCGUGAGAUAGAUGACACAUAUGAAAAGGAAAGCAGAUAUAAAGGUAACUUUGAUGAUGAAAAAAUUGUAUACAACCGGGACUAUCGACAUGGAAGCCGAGAUUCUUCAAGGGACAGGGAAAAGGAGCAUAAUUCUGGUAACAGCAGAUCCUCUAGAGACAGGUAUUAUAACAGGGAGAGUGUUGAUAGAUUUCGGGAGAGUAGUCUGGAGAAUGACAGGGAUAGAGUAAGAGAUAAAGACAGGGAGCGUGAGUUGGCUAGAGAAAAGCGAAGGGAGAGCGAUAAGGAGAGGCGAAGGGAGAGCGAUAAGGAGAGGGAAAGAGUAAGGGAGAGGGACAGAGAGAGGGAAAGAGAGAAAGCUCGAGAUAGGGAAAGGGAUAGAGAAAGAGAACAUGAGAGGGGGAGAGGGAGAGAGAGGGAGAGGGAGAGGGAAGAGAGAGAAAGGAGGAAUAGGGAUAGGGAAAGCAGUGGACGUAGUAGGGAGGCAGAUAGGGAUAGAAAUAGUGAUAGGUACAGCAGGCAUCAGGAUGACAGUGUUGCUUAUAAUAGACGUAAUAGACAUUACGAGACUGACAUUGAGAGAGGAAGGACAAGUAAUCACUUAAAAACUGAGACCACAAAGCAACAUGCUGUAGAGACAGAGAGUGAGAGAUCGAGAAGAGAUGAAGUUGAACAGGAGGAUUAUCAGGAAAAAGUUGUUUUCCAGCUUGCUGAACAAGAUGAAGAAGAUGAACUUGAUAGAAUUAAGGAGGAGAGCAGAAGGCGAAGGCAAGCUAUUCUUGAAAAAUAUAAGAUUAAGAACUCACCGAAGGAACAAGUUACUCAAUCUGGGGACGUUGUUGAGAUUCACAUGGAUCAGUCUUCAAAAAAACCGGCAAUCAGACAGAAUGUUGUGCAAGAGUCUAUUGAUGCUAAGAGCAAUGGUGCAGAUGUCGAGCCAACAUUUUCUGUUGGGAAAUCACCUCUGCAGGGUGGUCAGAUUGGUGAUGUGCUGGCUUCUGGAGCUGGUGGACUGGGACAGGGUACUCCAAAGAGUGAGAGGUCGGCUGACAUGUUUUGUGACGAUAUAUUUGGAGAAUCGCCUGCUGGCAUCAGGAAGAUGGGCAAAGGAGAUGGUGUGGCAGUUGAGCGCAGUGGCCUUCAUGAUAACUGGGAUGAUCCCGAAGGGUAUUAUAGUUAUCGGUUCGGAGAAAUUCUUGAUGGCCGUUACGAGAUCGUUGCUGCUCAUGGUAAAGGAGUCUUUUCUACUGUUGUCCGCGCUAAAGAUCUCAAGGCUAGACCUGGUGACCCUGAGGAAGUAGCAAUUAAAAUGAUACGCAAUAAUGAAACAAUGUAUAAAGCUGGUAUGGAAGAGUUGGUCAUACUGAAAAAACUAGUUGGUGCAGAUCCUGAAGACAAGCGCCACUGUGUUCGUUUUAUUUCUAGCUUCAAGUACCGGAAUCAUCUCUGUUUGGUUUUUGAGUCUCUUCAUAUGAAUCUCCGGGAGGUUUUGAAGAAGUUUGGACGUAACAUUGGACUCAAACUCACUGCUGUGAGGACGUACGCAAAGCAACUUUUCAUUGCUUUGAAGCAUUUAAAAAAUUGUGGUGUGCUUCAUUGUGAUAUUAAACCCGACAACAUGUUGGUAAAUGAAGCAAAAAAUGUGCUGAAGCUUUGUGACUUUGGUAAUGCUAUGUUUGCUGGAAAAAAUGAAAUUACUCCAUACCUCGUGAGCCGUUUUUACCGUGCCCCAGAGAUCAUUCUUGGAUUGUCGUAUGAUCACCCGAUGGAUAUAUGGUCAGUGGGUUGCUGUUUGUUUGAGCUCUAUGCUGGGAAAGUAUUAUUUCCAGGUCCAACUAAUAAUGACAUGCUUCGUCUUCAUAUGGAAUUGAAAGGUCCAUUUCCAAAAAAGAUGCUUAGAAAGGGUGCAUUUACAGAACAACAUUUUGACCAAGAUCUCAAUUUUCUUGCCAUCGAAGAGGAUCCUGUUACAAAGAAGGCUAUAAGGAAGCUGAUUGUUAAUAUUAAGCCAAAAGAUAUCAGUUCAAUAAUUUCUGGCUCUCCAGGUGAAGACCCAAAGAUGUUGGCUCACUUCAAAGAUCUUAUGGAGAGAAUUUUUGUGUUAGAUCCAGAAAAGAGAAUGACUGUUUCCCAGGCAUUGAGCCACCCAUUCAUCACGGGCAAGUGAAUGACAACAAUGAUUUUAUGACUAGGGACAUGUUGCACUAGAUACUAGUGUAUUAUGAUCAUAUGAUCUUAGUUUAUUUUCAGUUCUCUAAUCAUUGGGCUUUAUAUGUCUUUAUCUACUAUCAUGGGUUAAGUGCUUCGGAGAUUGGCAUGGUUGAAGUUGCAGAGAAGAUUGCUGAUUUUGGGAGAUCUAUAUCUUGGCAAUUCUUUCAGUGCAAUGUUUUCUGUUCUAUCGAUAUCUACCAGGGCUUUGAUGCAAGAUUCAGUGAUUUAGAUGCUUAAAAGGCACCCUGGAGAAGGUACCUUGGUUUGUUUGUUAGGAAUUACUGUGACUCCCUUUAAAUGUUGUGAAUCUACUUGAUUCCUCAGACAUCAGUGAUAAUUUGUGCUUUCUUGUUCGUGCCAAUUUUUAAUUUUUGUUGACUAGUUAUGAUUUCUGAACUUUAAUUUGGUCUUGCCUGAAAAAUUGCAGACCUGAGGGUGGCUUGUCAAUGAGCCUCCUUAGGUUAGAAUAGUAAAACUAUCAAGAGCUAAAGGUUCUAUAUUAUUUGGAAAUAAUUUGGAGUCUGUGUUAUUUCUUCUAUUUCUUAAAUUUUUUUCCGAGGAACACUUUCUAAUAAGUUGCAUUGCAUCUGAUCCAUGGUAUGGUCAUCCUGGAGCAAUGUAUGACUGGAGAAUGAUCAGAUGCAGCCUUGAAGUGAGAAUUGUUUCAGGUGUGGUUCCAUGCAUCUGCAGUUCUAGUAAGUAUCCUUGAAUUUCAUUACGUCUCUGGUGUAAAAGGUGGGUUAUCUUUUGAAAACCUGAUAUUCUUCUAUCAAUGUAUUACGUUCAAAGUUUGCUUGUCUUCCAUGAAAUUGACCUACAUGGAAUAUAAUUCAAGUUCUUAACUGGAUUUGCUGAUAAACUUGGCCAUUGUGGAUCAAAUCUAUCUCAAAUUUCAAUUGUCCCUUUUCCUGAACACUAAUGAAAAAAAAAUCUGUUUAGCUUGCAUUGGAAUUUGACUUUCUAGAUCCCUCCUCCAAGAUGCAUUGAAUUUUUCUCCAACUGCAUGUUCAAGGAACAUUUGACAAGCCUCUCAUAUUUUUCUUCCUCCACCUUCUUAAGCACCAACUUAUUGCUCCUCUGCCAAGCCUCUCUGACUCUGUCUAUCCAUCUUUUGGCCAUUAAACUUUGUUAGUUAUGACAAGCUCAACUCGUGACUCUACGUUUUUUAAACAUAAGGUUUGUCCUUCUCGAAGGAUUUGAGGUGUGAUGUAUAGGCACGAGUCUUUAAACCCCUCAAAGCCUGACUACCAUUUGACUAGUAAUCUUUCUUUCUCCUGUUAACUGAUUUUGCACUCGAGUUUGUUGUUUUAGGAUUAUGGUACUUCUCAGGAAAUUCAGACUUCAGAUAAUGUUUAGAGAGGACAGGUGCAUGGCUAUUAUGGAUACUUAACUGAAUAAUCAUUUCCUCAUAAAAAUUCUUCUCAAGUAAGAAUGUAGAAAUGGGGAAUUUCUUUUUGAUGAAGGUAGGAAUAUGGAAUUUCUUAAUUUAGAUGAGCACUGUGAAGGAACACUAUUUUCGAAUGUAAAACAAAAACCAUAUUUUUAAUGAGGUAGUGUUGCAAAUUAAAGCAUCACUAAAAACAUAUGAAAGCUCGUAAGGUGUCUAAUAGAAGCAUGUAAUUAAACUACAGCCAAUCUUGCUGCAUUUUGCAAAAGUAAAGUGAGAAAUAGCAUAUACAUGUAUAAGAUUGUUUAUUUGGUUUAAUAGACUUAUUUUUCAAAAAAUUGAGUACUCAACUGUAAACGAACCUUGAAACUUUUAAGACCGAAACCGACUGAAGAACUGUGAACCAAAAAAAUUUGGUUCGGACAGUUUUUUCGGUUUUAACUAAAGGAGUGGGCAUUAAAUCAAGAAAAUUAUCUGAAACGAAAAUUUUGAUUUUGUGGUUUUUGGUCGGUUCAUGGUUAAUGUUUCUAACAUUAUCAGUUUAUAAAUAUGGUUCUUCAGUUAACUGGAAAAUCUAAGUGUAAGAGGUUUUGGGGUUCUCUAUACAUUAGUCUUUAGUUAAAAAAGUUCUCCAACCCAAUUACCCUCCCAAGGCUGAUGCCAAGCCUAGGCUCCUAGCUUAGUUUAUGCUAGGGUUCCGAGUCUCUUUUGCUGACGCAUUGUCGUCUCACACACUUACCAUUUCGCGAGUCUUUAAAUCCCUCAAUGCCUGUCUACCAUUUGACUAGUUAUCUUUCUUUCUCACCCUAUUGAAUUCUGCACUCAAGUUUGAUGUAAUUGUUUUAGGAUUAUGGUACUUUCCAGGAAAUUCAGAUUUCGAAUAAUAUUUAGAGGGGAUAGGUGCUUGACUUUUAUGAGAUGCUUUACUGAAUAGUAAUUUCCUUAAAAUUUUCUCAAGUAGAAUGUAGUAAUAGGGAAUUUCUUUUUUUGAUGAAGGUAGAAAUAUGGAAUAUCUAAAUUCAGACUAGCACCUAAAGGAGCUAUUUUCCUUUGUAAAACAAAAAUCAUAUUUUUAAUGAGGUAGAGUUGCAAAUUAAAGCAUCACUAAAAACAUAUGAAAGCUCAUAAGAAGUCAAGUAGUUAGGCAUGUAAAUUGCAAUUGAACUACUGCCAAUCUUGCUGCAUUUUGCAAAAGUAAUGUGACAUCCAAGAUGAGAGGCAAAACAAGUGAGAAAUAGCAUAUGCAUGUAUAAGUUAUUUAGUUUAAUCGGCUUACUUUUCAAGAACUCAACCGUAACAAACCUUGAAAGUUUUAGACCUAAACGGACUGAAAAACUAUGAAACAAAAAAAAUUAGUUCUGUUAGUUUUUUCGGUUUUAACCAAAGGGGUGGGCAUUAAAUCAAGAAAAUUAACUGAAAUGAAAAUAUUGAUUUUUCUGUUUUUGGUUGGUUCACGGUUUAUGUUUUUUGAUAGUAUCAGCUUCUCACUAAGGUUCUUCAGUUUCUCAAAAAAAAAAAGGUUCUUCAGUUAACUGGAAGAUCAAAGUGAAAGAGGUUUUGGGGUUCUCUAUACAGUACUCCUCAGUUUAAAAAGUUUUCUAGCCCAAUCAACCCUCCCAAGGCUGAAGCCCAGAGCUCUGAUGCCAAGCUUAGGCUCAGCUUAGUUUAUGCUAGGGCUCCAAGUCUCUUUUACUGAUGCACUGUCGCCUCACUCUUACCGUCUCACGUUUGUCCUGCAUUUGUGCUGUACUGGCCUGCUUCGACUCCCUUCUCUUUCUCGAGAAGUCAUACGUAGAUUUUAGUGAAUUGACUUGCUAAAGUUGAAGUGCAUCUUUACUCUUGUUUCUGUACUUGUGAAUGUAAGAUAUGUUUACCCAUAGUCCAUUCCUGUUUCUUUAACUCACUUCACCACCGCCUAUGUUUGAGUUAACUCACCCCAUUGUUUGUUGUUUGGUUCUCUUGUUAUUUAUCUUUGGUGAAGCACUCACAUACUUCUAUCUGACUUAGUUCUCUAUUUCUGAUGUCUUAGAGUGUUUAGCAUUCCGUCUAUGGGUUCUCAAUCUCUGUGUGUGUACCUUUUACAUUUUAUUAUGUCUUUAGUUAGAAUAGCAGCUGUCAUUUGAGUUGUUUGUUUUUGGUUGAAUUCUUUUUGUCAUUCUAAUUAGCUAUUAUAAAUUUAAAAAUAUUCAGAAUACAUUGAAUCCUGCAUAUGUUGAUUCGGUUUGACAUUACAAAUCACUUCUUAGUGUAUAACAAGUGACAUUACCCAUCACUAGUCUGGAUAAGUAAGAAGUGUAAAGAGCUCAAUUUUCCCUUGAACUAUGUGAAAGGUUUAACUUUGCCCUCUGUUAAAAGUUUGGGGUCAUCUAUAUCCUCGACAGUCGCCAUUUAGUUUUUGCUCGAAAUUUUGAACUUCUAACCAUAAGGGCAGAUCUCAAUCUUUUUCUCUAUUAUAUGAGUUGGACUCUAAUUAUCCGGAGUAGCAGAAAAACAUGCCAUGUUGCUAUGCUGUCAAAAAAAUGCAGCACCAAAUUUGCUUUACACACCAUCACUUGUGUAUUGUGAAGUAAAUUUAUGAAAAUGUAUGUUCGAAUAGAAGCUUUUUCUGCCAUUGCAGAUUGUCUGUUAGGUUUUUCUCUAAUCACUUAUGCCUUCAAAUAUUCUCAGCUGCAUUUACUGCACCAACCUGUGUUUAUAUUUGAGGUUAUAGCUUGAAUGUUAGGGAUGAGUGUUGUUUUGGAGCUCGACAUUGUCAGAGAUUGUUAAAUGAUCAUAUCAUGCCUUGAUUCCUUUCGUAACUGUGGUUUCUAUUUAGAUUGUAGUAAUCGAUAUAUUGCUUCAUGAUUUAGCUUGUUGCGACUUCUUUUGGAGUUUGGGAAUGUUAUCACUAUGUAUGUAUGUAAUGGUUAGUUAAACCAGUGCUCCUAUUACGUGCUGCACUAAUGCUGAAGAAUUUCCCGCCUUCACCUGGAUGUUCUGCUUAUCCCUUUUGAUAUUUUAGUGCAUCACAGUUGCCAGAUUUUGUAACCUGGAUAGUGUGAUUCUCAGGUAAGAAAGCCUACUAACAUCUUCAGAAUCGCGACUUAUGUCUGCUUUGAUUCUUCUUCAUCCUAACGAUGUGUGUGGUUCAGCUCGAAAGAUUUAUGUUUGGGCAGAGCGGUUGUUAAUGUUUCACACUUAUUCUAUGAAAUAAAUUUACGUUUUCUCUUA